RNAcentral lists this long non-coding RNA (522 nucleotides) under Bos taurus (domestic cattle). RNAcentral's name for it is "long non-coding RNA NONBTAT009216". Lineage: Eukaryota; Metazoa; Chordata; Mammalia; Artiodactyla; Bovidae. The record is from RNAcentral.
GAUUUGACUGACCACUAACUGUACUGGGUGUAACUUAAUAUCCUGUGUUAUAUAACAAGACUCUAAGACUGUCUUGAAUUGCUUUUUUGUAAAGGUCUGAACACUGUUAAGGAGAAAGCUGAGUAUUUACUUACCUUUCUGACAAACAAAAAUACGUUUCUCGUGCCAGUUUUAUUGUUGAAAAUACACUAAAACAAAAUUCUUUGAAAGGCCACAUAUCCAGGAGGGAGACAGUGUGAUUUUAAAUUUUAACGCAAGACUUUACUUUUAUCACUUAAACUGAUAAGCACUUUUUGUGUCAGUAUAAAAUGUACUAGAACCGAAGAAAUGCCAAGACAUCUGUCUUGUGAAGGAGGAUUUCUUGGCAAUCACUUUUAGUUUCUCGGGACAAGUGGCUACUCCUAGGAUCAGAAGAAGCUGAUGUAUAGUGUCAUGUGCUCAGUGGUUGCCAAAGUCUACCAACUUUGGGGAGCUGCAGGGUUCUUUUUAGUGGGGGUGGGAGGAGGGGGCAUAUUUUUUGUU